Molecule: ribosomal RNA, 515 nt
Filed under: uncultured bacterium
Lineage: Bacteria
Description: partial 16S ribosomal RNA
Rfam family: Bacterial small subunit ribosomal RNA
Source: RNAcentral
GAUGAACGCUGGCGGCGUGCCUAAUACAUGCAAGUCGAGCGAAUGGAUUAAGAGCUUGCUCUUAUGAAGUUAGCGGCGGACGGGUGAGUAACACGUGGGUAACCUGCCCAUAAGACUGGGAUAACUCCGGGAAACCGGGGCUAAUACCGGAUAACAUUUUGAACUGCAUGGUUCAAAAUUGAAAGGCGGCUUCGGCUGUCACUUAUGGAUGGACCCGCGUCGCAUUAGCUAGUUGGUGAGGUAACGGCUCACCAAGGCAACGAUGCGGAGCCGACCUGAGAGGGUGAUCGGCCACACUGGGACUGAGACACGGCCCAGACGCCGACGGGAGGCAGCAGUAGGGAAUCUUCCGCAAUGGACGAAAGUCUGACGGAGCAACGCCGCGUGAGUGAUGAAGGCUUUCGGGUCGUAAAACUCUGUUGUUAGGGAAGAACAAGUGCUAGUUGAAUAAGCUGGCACCUUGACGGUACCUAACCAGAAAGCCACGGCUAACUACGUGCCAGCAGCCGCAGUAA